Molecule: transfer RNA, 78 nt
Filed under: Candidatus Heimdallarchaeum aukensis
Lineage: Archaea; Promethearchaeati; Candidatus Heimdallarchaeota; Candidatus Heimdallarchaeia (ex Rinke et al. 2021) (nom. nud.); Candidatus Heimdallarchaeales; Candidatus Heimdallarchaeaceae
Also listed under: 1 other name
Description: tRNA-Glu
Rfam family: tRNA
About the family: Transfer RNA (tRNA) molecules are approximately 80 nucleotides in length.
Source: RNAcentral
GCCCCGAUGGUGUAGCUCGGCCAAUCAUUGCGGACUUUCACUCCGCAGACCCGGGUUCAAAUCCCGGUCGGGGCACCA